UUUGGUAGGGACAACCGGCCGAGCGGUGGAAUACAUGCGGGUGUGGCACGCAAAAAGGACGCCACGUUAACGAUGGACACGGACAGAACUGAACCCCCACAAGAUUCGGCACGAUUCACCCCAUCACCGCCCACAAGUCGAGAGCUCCUCUCAGCGCGGUCAUAGUAACGUUUUGGGGCCCACACCAUCUUCCCAACUGCCC
RNAcentral lists this long non-coding RNA (202 nucleotides) under Musa acuminata (dwarf banana). RNAcentral's name for it is "long non-coding RNA (MACU_LNC003940)". The record is from RNAcentral. Lineage: Eukaryota; Viridiplantae; Streptophyta; Magnoliopsida; Zingiberales; Musaceae.